AACGAACGCUGGCGGCAGGCCUAACACAUGCAAGUCGAGCGGACCCUUCGGGGUUAGCGGCGGACGGGUGAGUAACGCGUGGGAAUAUGCCCUUCUCUACGGAAUAGUCCUGGGAAACUUGGGGUAAUACCGUAUACGCCCUUUGGGGGUAAGAUUUAUCGGGGAAGGAUUAGCCCGCGUUGGAUUAGGUAGUUGGUGGGGUAAUGGCCUACCAAGCCGACGAUCCAUAGCUGGUUUGAGAGGAUGAUCAGCCACACUGGGACUGAGACACGGCCCAGACUCCUACGGGAGGCAGCAGUGGGGAAUCUUAGACAAUGGAGGCAACCCUGAUCUAGCCAUGCCGCGUGAGUGAUGAAGGCCUUAGGGUUGUAAAGCUCUUUCAGCUGGGAAGAUAAUGACGGUACCAGCAGAAGAAGCCCCGGCUAACUCCGUG
Molecule: ribosomal RNA, 433 nt
Filed under: uncultured bacterium
Lineage: Bacteria
Description: partial 16S ribosomal RNA
Rfam family: Bacterial small subunit ribosomal RNA
Source: RNAcentral